GUCCCAAGGCUCGCUUCGG
RNAcentral lists this small nuclear RNA (19 nucleotides) under Arabidopsis thaliana (thale cress). RNAcentral describes it as "snRNA_14264". Lineage: Eukaryota; Viridiplantae; Streptophyta; Magnoliopsida; Brassicales; Brassicaceae. The record is from RNAcentral.